Salmonella enterica subsp. enterica serovar Typhi is the source of this 88-nucleotide non-coding RNA. NCBI's taxonomy places the organism in Bacteria, Pseudomonadati, Pseudomonadota, Gammaproteobacteria, Enterobacterales, Enterobacteriaceae. The record is from Rfam.
AGUAAUGGUGGCUCAGGCGGGGCCGACUUCGGUCGGGCCGGUAUCCGUUAGAGCCGGUAUUUCCACCCCCGUCUGGGCUACCACCACU